CCCAGACAGCCAGGAUGUUGGCUUAGAAGCAGCCAUCAUUUAAAGAAAGCGUAAUAGCUCACUGGUCGAGUCGGCCUGCGCGGAAGAUGUAACGGGGCUAAACCAUGCACCGAAGCUGCGGCAGCGAACGUAUCACCCAAGACAACUUUGCGGAGUUGACGAUUGACGGAGCGAAGCGACGUCAAAGCGUUCAUUAAAGUCGAGUUGGCUUAGGGAUACGUUCGUUGGGUAGGGGAGCGUUCUGUAAGCCUGUGAAGGUGUGCUGUGAGGCAUGCUGGAGGUAUCAGAAGUGCGAAUGCUGACAUAAGUAACGAUAAAGCGGGUGAAAAGCCCGCUCGCCGGAAGACCAAGGGUUCCUGUCCAACGUUAAUCGGGGCAGGGUGAGUCGACCCCUAAGGC
Molecule: ribosomal RNA, 399 nt
Filed under: Salmonella enterica subsp. enterica serovar Indiana
Lineage: Bacteria; Pseudomonadati; Pseudomonadota; Gammaproteobacteria; Enterobacterales; Enterobacteriaceae
Description: partial 23S ribosomal RNA
Rfam family: Bacterial large subunit ribosomal RNA
Source: RNAcentral